CCGCUAGCUUGGUAUUCAUAUUAAGGUGAUGUGAUUUGAUUAGCUACUAUAUUCUCGCAAGUUCCUUAAGUAAAAAACCGCUAAAUCGUUAGCUCCUUAGAGCAGAAGAUCGGGAAUCUUGCUAGUCAUGUUAGACUCUAGGAUCUUCAAAAAAAGAUAUCUCGACAAGAGCAAGAAAACAAGCAGGGAGAGCAUAAAAAUAGAAGUCGUGAGUGAAGCGCCUAUUGCAUAAAAAACUCCUUAAUAAGCGGAUCUAGAUAGAGAAGAGAGUGGAGAAGUAGAAAAACCCCGGGAAGUGAAGUGGGAUACCUAGAAUAGAAAGGGGGGACUUAUUAUAUACUGCAGGCUUAUUCGAUCCUCCUCCCCUUCUUUCGCUUGCUAUUGAUUGAGACUCCUGCAAUCUUUCCUAUUUUUACAUAUACAUAAGUCCUUUCCUAUAAUAUUAUAAGCCGGGGUAGAACCUAGAUAGAAUCUCCGGAAUCAGAAGCUGCUAUCUCUCGCUAUACUUUUCUCUUUUAUGAGUGGAUUUGAGAGUGCGGCAUAGCCUGAGGUUCUAACCUUAAUGAAAAAAUAGAGAUUGUGAGAAGUUCCCGAGUGUGAGUAAAAAAGCCCCUUUUGAAAGGAUCUUUCUGCUUUUUAGUUUCCUAAUAUGUGUGUACAUAUUGAUUGUAUCAGUACUACCAGCGAGCUAAGAGCUAACCCCUUUCUUUUCCUAUGGCGUUUUAAUACUCACCCCUGAAAUAGAGAUAGAGAGAAUCUAUUAAGUUGGAAGGCGGAAAGAAGCACUGGCUAAGACUUUCAUGGAGAUGGGGCAUACAGGGCAAGUGUACUAGCAUAUGAGUUUCAAGCUUUUGAAUUAAGCUUUGUCAAACCCUAAGCUGCUACUUAGAAAGGGGGCGUAGCGGGUAAGGCAAAAUAAAAGGUGUCCGCCUAGACUACUGCCACUUUCUUAUGUGAAUACCGAGUUCUUUCACUCCUCAAUCUCACUCUUUAGUGAAAGUCUCUAUUUCACUUUCAAAAAGCAGUCUACACAAAAUUACCUCUUCGAUGCUAAGAAUAGGGUGCUGUCUCUUUCUAGUAAAUAGAAUCAUUCCUAUCAUGACUGUAAAGCAAUGGAAUGAGCGAUCUCAGAUGUCAUUCUUGCAUCAUGACGCCGAGAACCGUCUGCUCUCUCUUUUCCGCAAACUUAGUAGAUGGAAAGAAGAAAGAGUAAGCAGAGAUGGUACCACUAGGAGACAAGAUCAAAUAAAGGAACUUCACUCAAAGCUGGGGAAGUAAUGAAGGGUAAAUAGCGUAGAUAAGAAAGGGCGUCGUUAGCAGGCUAGACAGAUAUUGAAUGAAGAAAGAGAGGAGAACAAGUCACUUAUUUUCUUUCACUAGUCUCAGGUUUACAUCAGAGGAUUGAGGGAACGAAUAAACAGCUAUUGAAAUCACUGGUUGGUUGUUGACCAACGGAAUGAAUUGGAGUCUUUUUUCGUUGGUCAGCUGUAAACCAAGUGCUGUCCGUCUUCAUGGCCUCAAUAAGACUCAGUAUUGUACUGGCCGAAUCCGUUUCGGCUUUUUCCCCAAUUUCCCACGCCUUCUGCAAAACCUCACCACACUACACUUCACUUCGACGCAAGAGGACCGGGCGCUUACUUGUCUUGUAUAUUCGGGAUACGAGUUGCCGGUCUAAGAUAACUUUUAU
This is a long non-coding RNA of Arachis duranensis, 1687 nucleotides long. RefSeq lists it as uncharacterized. Lineage: Eukaryota; Viridiplantae; Streptophyta; Magnoliopsida; Fabales; Fabaceae. The transcript has 2 exons. The record is from RefSeq and is a predicted model, not a curated record.